Molecule: long non-coding RNA, 2016 nt
Filed under: Sus scrofa (pig)
Lineage: Eukaryota; Metazoa; Chordata; Mammalia; Artiodactyla; Suidae
Description: lncRNA (ENSSSCG00045015115.1)
Source: RNAcentral
UUGUCAACUCGGUGAACUUUCUCGAGAGAGCACCGGGCAGCUUCUCUCGCCUCUCUCCUUCCCCCUUGUCUCUCACUGGCCUCUGGGUCGCUUCCAAAAGGUUGCUUCCUUCGAGUUUUCCCUGUGAAGCUUCACCUUGGCGUGGUCCACAUGGAAGGCAGAAUCAACCCCACUCACAGAUUCCCAAAGGGUCGAGUUUGGACAGUACUCCGGAGCAACGUUUUUGCUUUUGCUUUUUUUUUUCUUCAACUCCUACCCAGUGGUUGAUCUAUCAACAUCCUGCAAUUUUGGAAAUUUCACUUUAUGAUUCACAAGUACCUGGAAUCUGCAGAGGAUUUUUGCUGUUAGGAGGAAAGGUAAUUGCUUCUCCACUUGAUGCCAUUUCUACUUACAAACGGUUUCAGGGGACCGCUCUGCUUUCGGACACUGAGGAAAACGCCGUGCCGUCUUGGUCUCAACCGCCGUCUCUCCUCCAAUAGGGAAGUCACUGUCUUCUGAUGAAGCCACGUUGACUUGCAGGUCUUGGAUGAUUCAAAAAAAAAGAUCUUUCCAUCUCUGGACUUCCAGCUAGGCCUAAACAGAAAACAUGACCUUUUCAGAAAAGACGUUUAUUCAAGGUUUAAACCCAGUGGGUGGGCAUCAACAGAAUCAGGUGUGCUAACAGCACGCCCUGCGUCUGGAGAGGAUACCAGCCCUGCAAAUAAAGGAAGAACCCAGAAGACCAGAUCCGAAUCUCGAAGAGCCCUCGAGGAGCCAUGCUCCCAUCACUCCCUGCCGUCUCCGCUGCCUUCUUAGGAGUUUGAAUUAUGAGGUUAAGUACUUGAAUCAACCAUACUUUUCAGUGAUCUUCCAGUGGAAACCCUUCUGGACCAAAUACCACCAAAGGGAGCCUCUGUGCCUGGGUUGGUGGUGAAGGGUCAUGGAGUUGCCGUUUUUAGAGUCAGCUUCCCAAGUCCGCGGGGCACCCCAUGCUUUGCUUCUUGUUGCCUUUCCAGUUGGGUGCUUCCCUGAAGGAUACCUAGUAGCUUGCACCUGACCUGAAUACCAGUCACAGCAGCCUCCUCAGCUAGAGCCAUUCUUAAUGUAUCCAUCCGUCCAACACAUAUUUCCUGAGCUCCUACUGUGUGCGGUGCUGCAGCGAUGCGGUCAACAACAGUCCUGUCCCUGCUUUCAGGACAUUCACAGUGCAGUAGAGGGGAAAAGACAGUGUUUAAAGGACCAGGGAUGAAAUUCAAAUUGAUGCAGAUUGAAUUCCCCUCGGAAAACUUCCCUCUGGCUCCAGAGAAUGGACUAGGGGCUGGGGGAGGGGCGCCACUCUCUGCCACCUGCUACCAUUCUGUGUGACACCGCUAGCACUCAGUCACCCUCUUUUUUAAUUUCCUGCAAGCACCGCACACACGUGCCCUGAAAGGCCUGCGUUUGUUUUCUUUUCCCCCCGGUGGCCAGUCUGCCUUUACAACACACAAUGGAAGCUUCAUGUAGGGAGGCACUUCCUCCAGUUUGCAGAAUUCCUGGAACCAAGAGGGAGCCCUGUCUUCUUUGUUGAGCCCAUGAGGGACUUGUCCCUUAAACUCCAGUAAGGCAGGAAUGCUAGAAGCACCUGGGAGAAGGCACGUGGGAAUUCCGAGAGGCAGUGGGAGGCCCCUGUACCUGGUGGGAAAGCCCUGCUGGCCUGAGCUGUUGUCACUCAAGGGGCUCCGGUCUGCUCCCUAGGAAUCCCUGGGGGAUUUGGAAAGAAGACCUUUCUUUGUUGUCGUAAUUUAAUUGCUGGUUAGCACUUCCAUCCAAGUUCAGCGAUAACUUCUGGAAUUUGCACCUGAAGAACUUUUUNCCCCCCCCCCCCCCCCCCCUGCUCUCUUCCCAGAAAUGGGUGCCUGGCCGAAAACCCAUGUACUUAGCAGUUGGCUGUGGCAGCACAUGAGUAAUCUCCCACCUUCAUCAAGGAAGGAAGAAAUGGAAAACUUGAUCCCCAGGUGGCUUCGCAGGAACUGGAAAAAAAAAAAAAAAAAAAAAAAA